Molecule: long non-coding RNA, 8926 nt
Filed under: Ananas comosus (pineapple)
Lineage: Eukaryota; Viridiplantae; Streptophyta; Magnoliopsida; Poales; Bromeliaceae
Description: long non-coding RNA (ACOM_LNC010139)
Source: RNAcentral
CUCGGCUGCCGCCGGGACGAGCUUCGGGAACUGGUCCCUGGUCGGGAGGACCGGUCCCCGCACACGAAAAUGCCCAGUCUGGGCUGGUUGAAUAGAGUAAAAGUGGAGGGGUUUAAUUGCAUUUUUGCAACCCAUUGAGCUAAGUAUGAGGACAAAUGAGAUAUUUCUCUCAUUUCCCACUUCUCAUUCCCUCUCAUCUCUCUUUCUCUCUCUAGAAGACAAGAAGGAGAAGAAAAAGAGAAAGAAAGGAAAUGAGAAGAAGAAGAAGAAAGUGGAGAAGAAGUAGAAGGGGUGAAGAAACUCCCUCUCCCUCAUCUCUAGCUUCGAAAAGAAAGGCUUACAAGGUAAGCUUUGAACCCUAAAUGUGGUAGAAUCCAAAUUAGGGUUUGGAUUGAGUUAAUAAUGAUUUUUAUAGGAUCUCUAGAGUCUUUGAAGCUUUCUUUUGCUUCCUUUUGAGAUCAAAACCAUGGUUUGGUAUAGAGGUGAAGCUUGAAGGUGAGCUUCAACACCUCUCAUGGUGAAACCCAAACUAGGGUUUUGAUUGAGCUAGAAAUGGUUUAAAUGGACUUUUUAGAGUGCCAUGAAGUUUCUUUUGCUUCCCAAUGAGAUCAAACCCUAGGUUUUCUUAUGCUAUGGAGCUAGGGCACCCAAAUUGGGGCUUUAGCUUAUGGGGAUUUCUAAGUGAAAUUGACCCUCUAGAAAUCUAAUUGGGGACCAAAUGAACACGUUGGUGCGCUCGGUUUGAGUAUACGAAAAGCCAAUGUAAAGAUAUGAGCAAAAUGGCCUAAUAGGGCUUCGUUUUGCAGCAGGUAAAGAACGAAGGGUCUAAAAAUCCCAAGAAAAUCAUCGGAGCACCUUUGAAAACCUACGAGGUGGGUGGUGCUUUUCAAACUCAUUGAACUUCUCUCUAUGCCUAAUGUGUCAUUCAAUUGAGCAUAUGUAUAUACAUUGUUGCAUGCAUUUUAGGGUAAAGCAAUGAUAAAAGUGUGAUGUUGCAUGAUUGUGAGUACAACUUGCGUAAUGUGAUGAUUAAGAACCUUAUGAAUAUCAAAAACCCUAUAUAUGUAUGCAUGAGAGAAAAUAUGAGUACCAAAGUGAGGCGAAAGAACAGAGUGACACAAUGAGACAUAGAUCGAGUGGCAUUUGGUAAUGUAAAGUAAAGUGACACUAGAGGUAGUGUGAGGCAAAGAAUCAAUGUGAUGUAAAGAAUAAUGAUAAUGACUAAAGUGAAAACAAAGUGGGGCGUAAAGAACAUGAUUGCUAGAGUUAGCAAAAGUAAAGAAAGGUAAAGAACAAUGAUUGCUAGAGUAGCAACAUAAAGUGAUGUAAGGAACACUAGAGUUAGUGUAAAGUCAAGAUUGAACAUACAAUAGUUUUGAGUUAAGGAUUCGAUCAUAUUUGCUAUGAGUUCCGUGGUCGAGGGUGGUCGCUCCCCCUCGGGCGAUGCGCUCCGGAGUUUUUGCAUCACGGGUUGGAAUAAACCCGAAGAACGGUCUUAGCGGGAGGAAGCUGAGGGCCCGCGAUGAUGGACUUAAUGUGAAGCAAGUUAAUGUGGCGAAACUCCCGGGUUAGCCUUGAGAUUAAAGAACAAAGAACAAAGAACAAAGAACAAAGAACAAAGAACAAAGAACAAAGAACAAAGAACAAAGACAAAGUGUAAGGUGUAAAGAACAAAAGAACUUGCAUAAUCUGCAUGUGUUAAUGUUGAGCAUAUUUUCUGCUUAUUGUUCAGGCAUAUUAGCAUCAUAUUAUAGAUUGGUUACUAUAUGCAGCUUUUCCCUUUUAUUAUGCCUGAGUUAGUCCUAGUGGGAAAGUCGGUGAGAUUGAGGCCGAACCCACUGAAAACUUUGUUGUAGUUCUCACCCCACUAUUUCCACAUAGCCGGGACCGAGCGGGCUGGCGAGCGACUGCGGUAUAGGUAUCGCACCAUAGCAAGAGGCUACCAGUGCUGAGUUUACAUUUUGUAGUUGUAGCACACUGGACCUUUGCAAAUUGCGAGGUUCGAGUGUUUGGAUGUAUUUCGAGCUUUUCCACACUUGGUGGAGGGUUGUAUAAUAUUUUCCGACCUAAAAAGUUCGAAAACUGGAAUUCUGGACAAGUCCUGAGAGUUUUUACUCUCGGGGACCGGUCCCUGGAAGGAGAGACCGGUCCCCCAGUGAGCAGUGUUGCGGCAGCCCUGAGGUAACCGGUCCCUGGCGGGCGAGACCUGUAAGGUACCGAACUUCUUAAAUUAUGAAGUUGCGGCGGGGUGUAAUAUGCUGAAAUUUUAAUAUAAAAAUAAAUAUAAAUGAAAAUAGUGUGAAAUACUAUUUUAUUGGACUUAUAGACAUAAAAUAUAAGUCUGGAAUGGCCCGUGUUGAAAUCGGAGCGAAAACAGAAGAUUUAGAAUUUUCUGUGUGAAAUGGGGCAGAUAAAUUAGCAGAAAAUGCAUAGUGUCAGAAAAUUCUGAAAACUGGAGGAUAAGCCCGAAUUAUUCUUAUGAGGCUAGAUUUAAAGUUUCAUAUCAUUUUGACACCCGGAAGGUGGAAAAUAAAAUCCAAUAGUGAUCUGAUAAAGAUUACAGUUCGGUACAGCUUUCGGUGACCAAACGGGGUCGAAACUGAAAUAUUAAAAUUUCUUUGGACUCUUUAAGUAAAACCGAACAUGACUGUCAGAUUUGAGCUCAAACGGAUAUUCAGGGAGCUCCGGCGAAAGAUAUCAGAUUUUGAGCUGCCUGAUGUGAAUAGUGUAUGCUACUAUUGAGGUGUUGACUAUAAGUAGAAGCUACUAGGCUUCUUCUUCCUCCUCAGCUGCAGCCAGCACAAGCAUCACACGCACAUGGUGAAGGAGAGAGAAACCCUCUCUUUCUCUCUCUAAAUAUCUCUCUCAUCUCUCUAGAUCUUUCGCCCAAAUUCGCGGCGUUGGUGGAGAUCGAGCUUGCGAACGCGUUGGAGGCGACGGAUUGACGAUGGAGCUUUCGUGCGCCUGUUGGAGAGCGACUUGUUUUCGUUGCGGCGUUCACAUUGGGUAACCUUUUGGAUUUGGCUUAAUCCUUAACCUUAAGUGUCUAGUAGCCUCUAAUGAGCAUUCUUAGUUAUGUUGCUCCAUUUAAUUUGGAUUAUUUGGGGCUAAUUGCAUGUUAGGGCUCAAAAAUGGGAUUUUGCAAUACGUGAGGGUUUGAUCUAAAUUGAUCAUGUAUAAACCUAAUUGUUAGGUUUUCUGACGCGUUGGCGAAGUCGGUUUGGCGAUACGACGAGCGUACGCGAAGAUAUUAAAGAACGAAGCCGUUAGUGUACAGAUUGCCGCAACUUGCGGCGAAAGCUUCCAAAAAUCACGAAAAUCGGAAUCCUAGCCUCGUGAUAGAAUAAAAGGUGGGGCGUGUCAUCCCGAAAGCAAUGGUUUCUUUUUAUGUCUAAGUUAAUUAUGUUGAUCAUAUUGCGCUAUAGGAAUAGAGUUGUACAUUUCAUUCCUUGCAUGUUUCUUGGUGGCGUAGCGGUGGGUGAGCUUGACACGUGACUAGGAUACAUGAGGAUUGGGUCUUGUGACAUUAGAAUCCUAUAGCGGCAUUAAAGAGCCGAACUUGGACAUAGCCUAGUAGAGUGGCAUCGAAACUAGUGUGGUAAGAAGCACUAUGACAUGAACAGGUGACAUGUAGAAUAAUUGAGACAUUUACUACAAUGACUAAACGAGUGGCAUUGAGUCUAGUGUAGUAAACAUGACAUGGUUCUAGGGAUGGAUAGAAGUCUACAACAUUGAUUAUAUAUCAUGAUUGUGCAGAAGAGGCCAUUGACCCUAGUAGACAGGGUAUCCUCUUGAGAGGAUUUGAUCAUACUCACUAGUCUGUUUUUGCUUGUCGGUGGGUCGCUUCCACCGAGGCACGAGUUCUCGCGAGUAUUCACGAGGGGCAGACGUAGUUGCCCCGCAGACGGUCUCGGUGUGCGAGUGCAGUUCCUCACCUAUGAGAUUGAAAGUGAGUCGAGGGUUAACACGGGUUAACCAAGUAGAUGUGGGUAAUGAACAUGAACUGCAUAGUAAGAUUUAAUCAUUAUUAACUCGAGUAACAUAGUGUAUGUGUAGAUUACAUUGCUAUGUACUUUAUAUUACUCAUGACAUGUACUAGCAUGAUGUAGUUGUUGCAAACAUUAUCAUCAUUGAUGGCAUGAUACAGUAGUUGCAGUUAUUUCGCUAUAUAUCUAUCUAUCUCUCUAUCUGUGACAGCUUAGACCUAAGUGGAAAACCGCGCGUCGGCGCCGAACCCACUGGGAACUAUAUUAUAUAAGUUCUCACCCGUGUGGUUUUGGGUAACAGGUACACACAGAGGCGACGAGCGAGGACCGCGGCAAGGGCAUAGCCGCCGCUAAGUGAGCCUAUUAGUAGCUUUUUCUUUAUGCAUUAGAGUACCCUCGUUACAGAUGAGUUUUUGGAUAAGGCUACUUAUAUUUUGAAGAAAACAUGUAUUUACAUUUUGGAAGAUGAAAAUGUAAUAUAUUCAAAUGAUGUAAAUGUUGAAUGAUUGUGAUAGUUAGACUAUCUCUCUUUAUACACUUGUAUAUUACUUGUGGUUCUUGCUCUUAGAUGUAUUGCACUUGUGUGCAUCGUGUUUGAUCAUGUAUGUUAUUUAAGCAAAUAACUGGGUGCUUAAUUGUACAUGAUCUGGUUGCUUAGCCUUGGGCGGACAGGAGAGGUGCUGUCCGUUCGGCGUCUGUUCGACGCGCCCGAACCGGACCGAAUUGGUAGCGGUCUCGGGGCGUGACAGAGUUGUUGGUAUCAGAGUCACUAAGAGCAAGUAAAGAGAGAGUCUAGGAUGGCGCCGGCGGAAUUGAAAGAGUUGCGGGCACAAUUGAUAGAUCUCAUUGAUAAGGGAUUCAUACGGCCAAGUGUAUCACCGUGGGGAGCCCCGGUCCUAUUCGUGCGAAAGAAGGACGGAUCAUUUUGACUCUGCGUAGACUACCGCGAGUUGAACAAGGUCACGAUCAAGAACAAGUACCCGUUGCUGAGGAUUGACGAUCUGUUUGAUCAGUUGCAAGGAUCUCGGGUUUAUUCAAAGAUUGAUCUACAAUCCAGUUAUCAUCAACUCAAGAUUAAGCCGGAAGAUGUGCACAAGACCGCGUUUCGCACGCGGUAUGGACACUAUGAAUUCACGGUCAUGCCGUUUGGGCUCACUAACGCCCCGGCAGCAUUCAUGGAUUUAAUGAACCGUGUCUUCAAAGAGUACUUGGACCGAUUUGUCGUGGUCUUUAUAGACGACAUCUUGGUCUACUCGCGCAGCGACGAGGAACAUGCCGAGCAUUUAAGGGUCGUGCUUCAAAUCCUUCGGGAGGAGAAGUUGUAUGCUAAGUUUAAGAAAUGUGACUUUUGGCUCCGAGAGGUUGCAUUUCUUGGGCAUGUCAUUUCCGAGGGAGGAGUAUCUGUUGACCCGAGGAAAGUGGAGGCGAUCAAGGAUUGGCCUCGCCCGACUAACGUCACGGAAGUUCGAAGCUUCGUAGGUUUAGCGGGUUAUUAUAGACGGUUCGUGGAGGGAUUCUCGAAGAUUGUGGGUCCACUUACCCGUCUGACUCAGAAAGGCGCCAAAUUCAUUUGGAGUAACGAGUGCGACCGGAGUUUUCAAGAGUUGAAGGAUAGAUUGACUUCGACUCCGGUACUCGCCUUACCGAUGCAAGACGAAGACUUCGUGGUGUAUAGCGACGCGUCACAAUCGGGCUUAGGGUGUGUUCUGAUGCAGGGCGGGAAGGUGAUCGCUUAUGCGUCCCGUCAGCUGAAGAUCUAUGAGAAGAAUUACCCUGUCCAUGACUUGGAGUUGGCCGCGGUAGUGUUUGCCCUCAAGCUAUGGAGGCACUACUUGUAUGGCGCGCGUUGCGAGAUAUACACGGACCACAAGAGUCUAAAAUACCUUUUCACGCAAAAGGAGCUCAAUAUGCGACAGCGGCGGUGGUUGGAAUUGCUGAAGGUUUUGAUGUGACAAUCCUAUACCACCCCGGAAAAGCGAACGUGGUGGCUGACGCGCUUAGCAGGAAGUCAGUGGAAAAUCUGGCUAUGUUGGUCACACGUCAAGAACCUCUGUGGAGAGAGAUGGAACGAUUGGAUCUCGAGAUGGUAGCUCCGGAAAUCCCGUCUAUGCUUACGGCUCUCGUUGUCCAACCGACCUUGUUGGAGCAGAUAAAUAGUUUGCAAUCUGCGGACCCCAAUCUCCAAAAGGUGCGGCGAGACAUCGAGAGUGGACACGGCGGUGAUUUCAGUGUAGAUGUUGAGGGUGCGCUUCGGUUUCGAAACCGAUGGUGCGUAUCGGAAAACGAGGAAGUCCGAAAGUUAAUAUUGCAAGAAGCACAUCGGACUCCUUAUAGUAUUCACCCGGGUGGCACCAAGAUGUACCGUGAUCUGAAGAUGCAGUACUGGUGGCCGGGCAUGAAAGCAGACAUUGGGCGCUAUGUAGCGCAGUGCCUAGUAUGCCAGCAAGUGAAGGCUGAACAUGGCAAUCAUAUUUAUAUAGUUCUCACCCCGUGUGUGUUUUGGGUACAGGUAAACAUCAGGCGAGAGGCUAAAGCACCGCGGCGCCGGAGGAAGGCAGGAAAGAGGGAACAGAGCGCCCUAGUACGCUCAAGUUAUGGGUAAGCUUGUUAUGUGUGCCAUAUGAGUGCAUGUACCGAGGUUAAUCCCAUCCGAAGCGUGUACUAGAUAAUGUUUGGAAGAUAAUUAUGCCGGGGAUGGCUAAACUUAUAAUACCAGUUGAAGGAGAAAACAAAGUAAUAUAGCAUUUUGUAGAGACGAGAGUCAAAGAUGGUAUAUUUAAUUUCAGAGAUGAGCGGUAAAUGUUAAGAGAUUGUGAGGAGUUUAGAGAGCUAUCUCUCUAUAUUAUUAGAACACUAUAUAUAUAAAUUGUAGAGUGUUGCGUGCUUAGAAAGAAUAGGGCGAGACUUCGUGAUACAUCGGAAUGAGGCUGAAAUUUUAAUAUAAAAAUAAAUAUAAAUGAAAAUAGUGUGAAAUACUAUUUUAUUGGACUUAUAGACAUAAAAUAUAAGUCUGGAAUGGCCCGUGUUGAAAUCGGAGCGAAAAUAGAAGAUUUAGAAUUUUCUGUGUGAAAUGGGGCAGAUAAAUUAGCAGAAAAUGCAUAGUGUCAGAAAAUUCUGAAAACUGGAGGAUAAGCCAGAAUUAUUCUUAUGAGGCUAGAUUUAAAGUUUCAUAUCAUUUUGACACCCGGAAGGUGGAAAAUAAAAUCCAAUAGUGAUCUGAUAAAGAUUACAGUUCGGUACAGCUUUCGGUGACCAAACGGGGUCGAAACUGAAAUAUUAAAAUUUCUUUGGACUUAUUAAGUAAAACUGAACGUGCCUGUCAAAUUUGAGCUCAAACGGAUAUUCAGGGAGCUCCGGCGAAAGGUAUUAUAUUUUGAGCCGCUAAACUGAAAUUGUGCUAAAGUGAAUAGUGUUGGUGUUGACUAUAAAAAGGAGUGUUGACUCCUUCUUCCUCCUCAGCUGCAGCCAGCACCAAGCAUCACACGCACAUGGUGAAGGAGAGAGAAACCCUCUCUUUCUCUCUCUAAAUAUCUCUCUCAUCUCUCUAGAUCUUUCGCCCAAAUUCGCGGCGUUGGUGGAGAUCGAGCUUGCGAACGCGUUGGAGGCGACGGAUUGAGCUUUCGUGCGCCCGUUGGAGCGACGUGUUUUCGUUGCGGCGUUCACAUUGGGGUAAACUUUUGAGAUUUGGCUUAAUCCUUAACCUUAAGUGUUCUAGUAGCCUCUAAUGAGCAUUCUUAGCAUGUUGCUCCAUUUAAUUUGGAUUAUUUGGGGCUAAUUGCAUGUUAGGGCUCAAAAAUGGGAUUUUGCAAUACGUGAGGGUUUGAUCUAAAUUGAUCAUGUAUAAACCUAAUUGCUAGGUUUUCUGACGCGUUGGCGAAGUCGGUUCGGCGAUACGACGAGCGUACGCGAAGAUAUUAAAGAACGAAGCCGUUAGGGUACAGAUUGCCGCAACUUGCGGCGAAAGCUUCCAAAAAUCACGAAAUCGGAAUCCUAGCCUCGUGAUAGCGAUAAAAGGUGGGGGGUGUCAUCCCGAAGCAAUCGGGUUUCUUUUUAUGUCUAAGUUAAUUAUGUUGAUCAUAUUGCGCUAUAGGAAUAGUAGUCGUACAUUUCCAUUUCCUUGCAUGCUUUCUUGGUGGCGUAGCGGGGUGAGCUUGACACGUGGACUAGGAUAGCAUGAGGAUUGGGUCUUGUGACAUAGAAUCCUAUAGCGGCAUAAAGAGCCGAACUUGGACAUAGCCUAGUAGAGUGGCAUCGAACUAGUGUGGUAGAAGCACUAUGACAUGAACAGGUGACAUGUAGAAUAAUUGAGACAUUUACUACAAUGACUAAACGAAUGGCAUUGAGUCUAGUGUAGUAAACAUGACAUGGUUCUAGGGAUGGUAGAAGUCCCAACAUUGAUUAUAUAUCAUGAUUGUGCAGCAGAGGCACAUUGACCCUAGUAGACAGGGUAUCCUCUUGAGAGGAUUUGAUCAUACUCACUAGUCUGUUUUUGCUUGUCGGUGGUCGCUCCACCGAGGCACGAGUCUCCGGAGUACUUCACUAGGGGCAGACGUAGUUGUCCCGCAGACGGUCUCGGUGUGCGAGUGCAGCUUCUCCUCACCUAUGAGAUUGAAAGUGAGUCGAGGGUUAACCUACGGGUUAACCAAGUAGAUUGGGUAAUGAACAUGAACUGCAUAGUAGAUUUGCAUUAUUACCUCGAGUAGACAUAGUGUAUGUUGUAGAUUACAUUGCUAUGUACUUUUAUAUACUCAUGACAUGUACUAGCAUGAUAGUAGUUGUUGCAAGCAUUAUCAUCAUUGAUGGCAUGAUAGAGUAGUUGCAGUUAUUUCGCUAUAUAUCUAUCUAUCUCUCUAUCUGUGCCAGCUUAGACCUAGUGGGAAAACCGGCGGCGUCGGCGGCCGAACCCACUGGGAACUAUAUUAUAUAGUUCUCACCCCGUG